UAAAUAUAAAUAGUUAUAGUAUUAUGUAAAUAAAGAAUUUUUGAUUUUAGUAGAUUUUUCGAAAAAAUUAAUUUUGGGGUAGAGAAUUAGUAUUGUGAGAGAAAGUUUUAUUUGCUGGGAAAGAAAAAAUAAUUUUUUGUACCUUGUGUAUCAGGGCUUAUUAAAAGGGUAUUAAAAUUUUAAUUUUCUCGAAUUUGAAAGAGCUAUUUGGCUAUAUUUUUUAUUGUAGCAUAAAUAUUGUUAAUAGCCAAGUAGGGGUGAAACGUUAAUCGGUUUCAAAUAUAUCUAGUUUUCUAAGAAAGAAAUUUAAUUUUUUCUUAUUUUGAUUAUUUUUUUUAUUUUUUAGUUAUAUAUUAGGUAAGGGGAAUAGUUUAGGGGUUGAGCUUUAAACUAAAUUUAUAAAAUAAAUUAGGGGUUAUAUUAAAAAUAUAUAGGAUUUGGAGUUUCUAUUUAGUGAUUUAUAUCUUAAUUUUUGUUUAUAUAAGAUUUUUUAAAUUUAUUUAUAUUUUUUAUUGGAAUUUAGGCUUAAUUAAGUAUUGUUUAGUAAAAAUGAUAAGAUUAGUAUAAAAUUGAAAGUUAUUUAUUUGUGAUGUUUAAAGGUUUAGUUAAGGAACUCGGCAAAUAUAUUUUCCACCUGUUUAUUAAAAACAUGGCCUUUUGAUUAUAAUUUAAGGUCUGGCCUGCCCAAUGAUUUAUUAAAUGGCCGCGGUAUACUGACCGUGCAAAGGUAGCAUAAUCAUUAGUUUUUUAAUUGAAAGCUUGUAUGAAAGGUUGAAUGAGAAAAUUUCUGUCUCAAUUAGAAUUUUUUAGAAUUUUAUUAUUUUGUAAGAAGGCGUAAAUAAAUGUAAAAGACGAGAAGACCCUAUAGAGUUUUAUAAUUUAUGUAGAAAGGGUAAUUAGGAUAUUUUUCUUUAUUUAUUUAAAUUAUUUGGUUGGGGUGAUUGAAUAAUUUAGUAAACUUUUUUUAUAUUGAGUCAUUGAUAUAUGAAUAUUUGAUCCUUUAGUAAGAUUAUAAGAAAAAAUUACCUUAGGGAUAACAGCGUUAUUUUUCUAGAGAGUUCUUAUCGAAAGAAGAGUUUGCGACCUCGAUGUUGGAUUAAAAUUAAGGCUUGGUGGAGGUGCUUGGCUAUUAGGUCUGUUCGACCUUUAAAAUUUUACAUGAUCUGAGUUUAAACCGGCGUGAGCCAGGUUGGUUUCUAUCUUUACAGAUGUAAUAUUUUUUAGUACGAAAGGACCAAAAGUAUCUUAUAUUAAGUAUAAGCUGAAUAUUAUU
RNAcentral lists this ribosomal RNA (1273 nucleotides) under Scolytinae sp. BMNH 1274277. RNAcentral describes it as "large subunit ribosomal RNA". The stretch from base 586 to 1273 matches the Rfam family "Archaeal large subunit ribosomal RNA", at positions 1423 to 2803 of the family's 2987-position model. Lineage: Eukaryota; Metazoa; Arthropoda; Insecta; Coleoptera; Curculionidae. The record is from RNAcentral.